UACGAGGGGUGCAAGCGUUAUUCGGAAUCAUUUGGGCGUAAAGGGUGUGUAGGCGAUAAGUCAAGUCUAUUGUUAAAUAUCCCGGCUUAACCGGGAAAGUGCAAUGGAUACUGAUUUGAUAGAGGAUGGAAGACAGAAGUGGAAUUCUCGGAGUAGCGGUAAAAUGCGUAGAUCUCGAGAGGAACACCGAUGGCGAAGGCAGCUUCUUGGUCCAUAUCUGACGUUCAUGCACGAAAGCGUGGGGAGCAAACAGG
This 254-nucleotide ribosomal RNA is filed under the name uncultured bacterium. RNAcentral's name for it is "partial 16S ribosomal RNA". It matches the Rfam family "Bacterial small subunit ribosomal RNA", at positions 524 to 776 of the family's 1533-position model. The record is from RNAcentral.